RNAcentral lists this unclassified non-coding RNA (344 nucleotides) under soil metagenome. RNAcentral describes it as "partial contains 5.8S ribosomal RNA, internal transcribed spacer 2, and large subunit ribosomal RNA". The stretch from base 1 to 120 matches the Rfam family "5.8S ribosomal RNA", at positions 35 to 154 of the family's 154-position model. The record is from RNAcentral.
GAUGAAGAACGCAGCGAAAUGCGAUACGUAAUGUGAAUUGCAGAAUUCAGUGAAUCAUCGAGUCUUUGAACGCACAUUGCGCCCCCUGGUAUUCCGGGGGGCAUGCCUGUCCGAGCGUCAUUGCUGCCCUCAAGCACGGCUUGUGUGUUGGGCCUCCGUCCUCCUCCCGGGGGACGGGCCCGAAAGGCAGCGGCGGCACCGCGUCCGGUCCUCGAGCGUAUGGGGCUUCGUCACCCGCUCUUGUAGGCCCGGCCGGCGCUUGCCGACAUAUCAAUCUUUUUUCCAGGUUACCUCGGAUCAGGUAGGGAUACCCGCUGAACUUAAGCAUAUCAAUAAGCGGAGGA